RNAcentral lists this ribosomal RNA (161 nucleotides) under Cortinarius sp. BB-2010. Its description in RNAcentral is "5.8S ribosomal RNA". It matches the Rfam family "5.8S ribosomal RNA". From Rfam's summary of the family: 5.8S ribosomal RNA (5.8S rRNA) is a component of the large subunit of the eukaryotic ribosome. It is transcribed by RNA polymerase I as part of the 45S precursor that also contains 18S and 28S rRNA. Functionally, it is thought that 5.8S rRNA may be involved in ribosome translocation. The record is from RNAcentral. Lineage: Eukaryota; Fungi; Basidiomycota; Agaricomycetes; Agaricales; Cortinariaceae.
AACUUUCAGCAACGGAUCUCUUGGCUCUCGCAUCGAUGAAGAACGCAGCGAAAUGCGAUAAGUAAUGUGAAUUGCAGAAUUCAGUGAAUCAUCGAAUCUUUGAACGCACCUUGCGCUCCUUGGUAUUCCGAGGAGCAUGCCUGUUUGAGUGUCAUUAAUAU